This 138-nucleotide small nucleolar RNA is filed under the name Ornithorhynchus anatinus (platypus). Lineage: Eukaryota; Metazoa; Chordata; Mammalia; Monotremata; Ornithorhynchidae. The record is from RNAcentral.
GCCCUCUCAGGGUUGCACCUGGAGUGUUUCCAGUACUCUACCAGUCUCAGCUAUGGGAGGGAGAGUCAAGUAGAGGCAUACCCAUUCCAUUCCUAGCUUGGCCAGUGGCUAGCGAGUGGAAGGCAAUCUGCUACAAGU